This 460-nucleotide ribosomal RNA is filed under the name uncultured Ferruginibacter sp. RNAcentral describes it as "bacterial SSU rRNA". It matches the Rfam family "Bacterial small subunit ribosomal RNA", at positions 338 to 795 of the family's 1533-position model. The record is from RNAcentral. Lineage: Bacteria; Pseudomonadati; Bacteroidota; Chitinophagia; Chitinophagales; Chitinophagaceae.
CCUACGGGGGGCUGCAGUAAGGAAUAUUGGUCAAUGGACGCAAGUCUGAACCAGCCAUGCCGCGUGAAGGAUGAAGGCCCUCUGGGUUGUAAACUUCUUUUAUCUGGGACGAAAAAAGGGAAUUCUUUCCCACUUGACGGUACCAGAGGAAUAAGCACCGGCUAACUCCGUGCCAGCAGCCGCGGUAAUACGGAGGGUGCAAGCGUUAUCCGGAUUUACUGGGUUUAAAGGGUGCGUAGGUGGGCCUGUAAGUCAGUGGUGAAAUCUCCGAGCUUAACUCGGAAACUGCCAUUGAUACUAUAGGUCUUGAAUUAUCUGGAGGUGAGCGGAAUAUGUCAUGUAGCGGUGAAAUGCUUAGAUAUGACAUAGAACACCAAUUGCGAAGGCAGCUCACUACGGAGAUAUUGACACUGAGGCACGAAAGCGUGGGGAUCAAACAGGAUUAGAUACCCCGGUAGUC